UACGAAGGGUGCAAGCGUUAUUCGGAUUGAUUGGGCGUAAAGGGUGCGUAGGCGGUAUGUUAAGUCAACUGUUAAAUUUCUCGGCCUAACCGGGAGUCGGCAGUAGAUACUGGCGUGCUUGAGGAUGAGAGAGAGAAGUGGAAUUCUCGGAGUAGCGGUAAAAUGCGUAGAUCUCGAGAGGAACACCGAUGGCGAAGGCAGCUUCUUGGCUCAUUCCUGACGCUGAGGCACGAAAGCGUGGGGAGCAAACAGG
This 253-nucleotide ribosomal RNA is filed under the name uncultured bacterium. RNAcentral's name for it is "partial 16S ribosomal RNA". It matches the Rfam family "Bacterial small subunit ribosomal RNA", at positions 524 to 776 of the family's 1533-position model. The record is from RNAcentral.